AAUUAAAUUAGGGCUGCACGAUUAAUCGUAUUUUAAUCACGAUAACGAUAUCUGCUUCUCCCGAUUGAUUUUAAAUAAUCGUCAAGAUAUGGACUACUUGCACAGCUACUUCCGCUUUCUACUUAUUACGGCUCGAGCGUUUCCGGUCAGCGUUCAGCGCACUUAUAUACAGAGAGCUUCUUGUGAAAACGCAGAUUAUUACUACAUUUUAGGGCUGCGAAAUGUUUUUUAAACAAUUAAUCAUAUUCUCUGCAUUAACAUUAAUUAUCUUCAACCUGCUGAAAUGUUUAUUAAUAUAUUUCCCUUCCAAAUGCGCAUUCUGAAUAAUAAAUAAAUAUAUUUCCCCACUAACCUUCCGCCGUCAAGUGCUCGUCUUCUCAUUAGCAGUGUUUUUCUCUUAGUCAUCAUAUUUCAUACCUGUUAAAUUUACAUUUAAAUGAAUUUGACAGGAAGUGCAUUGUUUUACUAUGGUAAGUCCCAGCUAACACACGACGUAACAGUUACGUAAUGUAUUCGUACUUUUUGGUAAUUUAAUGACUUACUAACUGACAACGUAACUGCGACGUCGCAUGCCAGUAAUUUCAUUACCUUCCCAGAUAGCAACAGACUCCGGGGCGGAUCCGCCUUCAAGUCGCCAGCUCCGCUGUACGCUCAGAUUCAAUUCGGCAACGCGCACAGGAUAUGCCCCGCCUCCGCACAGCGCACUGUCAACUCGCGGACUCGUUACAGAUGCUGGGCGGAUUCACUGACCGGACGCGCCUUUUUUCAACUGUCGUCGUCACUGAAUCCUCCUCACUGUGGAAAAGCUGGAGCCGGCAGGUCGGUGAAGACUAAACAUGCUUACAGCUCAUUCAAGUGCCGCCAGUGUGUUUUUGGAGUAUUUCUUCUUUCUAUUUCAUCUUUCAUCUGAGGAAACUUACAGCUCAUUCAAGUGCCGCCAGUGUGUUUUUGGAGUAUUCUUCUUUGUAUUUCAUCUUUACCAAACGUCUGAGGAAAGUAAGAUUAAAAACUGUUUUAAACUUGAUUUAGGCAGCUAUUUUGUCAAAUACUGAUAAUGGUGUACAACUACAGCUUUUAACAUGUAAUAAUUGUGCCAUUUGAAAAAAUUCAUACCUAUAAUUGAUGGGUUAAAGUUUAAAAACCCACUUGUAUCAGUAAACUUUAGUUCUAGUAUACUAGUUUGAGUCUAUUUUUGUUUACAUUUGACAAUUCUCCACCUCAUGUAAUGUUGUUUCAGAUCAUUAUUUCAUAUCAUAGAGAGGAAAUGUCAUUGCUCCCUAUGUAGGCCUCACCGAGCCAUGAGAUUCAAUCAAAAUAUCUUAAUUUGUGUUCUGAAGAUGAACGAAGGCAUUACAGGUGUAGAACGACAUGAGGAUGGAGUCCAAGAAGUUCCUCCUGUGUGCUGUGAGAAAGAACCAUGUAUCACGUACCGCCACUGAUGAAGACAUUACAAAACACAAUACGAUGGUUCAGCCUGGCAGCUGAUAGGGGAAGCUCCAGGAACCGUCCCACUGUGAGCACCCAACAGUAGAGUUUCAGAGUAUCAUUGGCUACGUUUACAUGCACCGAUUUUCGUCAAUCUGAAUUAAUUGAAUCUGAUUGCAGAUCUGUUUACAUGUACUAUAAACAUUGUAAUCUGAUUCAAAUAUCCAUUUAUAUUUGUUUUAUAUACAUUCCGAUUAAAACUUUGAUGUGCAAAUGCAGCAAAUCUUGGCAAUAUUAAGAGGAUUUGGUAUUUCCAAUUAAUGUAGGCCUGUUACAUACUUCUAGUCUAUUAUUAUUACUAUUAGGUUAGGCUUCUUUCUUUUAUUAUUAAAUUAAUAUUAUAAUAAAUUUGCCCCACAAUUUCAUAGCGCAUCACCGCAUAACUGACGUGCUCUGAGGAUAACUUAUAAGAUUAGGCUAUUAGCUAUCUUUGUAUCAGACCUAAAAAAAGUUUAAAUCAUUUUCAAUGAAUUAUAGGCCUAUAAUUAAAGUUAUUAAGAAUGUCAAUGAAAAUUAAGCGCAGCUUUACUUCAAGCACUGACUUUAAAAAACAAACCACCUGUUUAACACGAAAUACUAUUAUUCUCAUUUGUUUCACUAGCCUAUAUGUACGGCCACAAGUGAAAUAAUGGAAUAAAUUUAGACAGUUACAUAGGCUACCGUUAUCAGCAUUUUAUGUUGAAAUUCGUCUCUGAGAAUAUGCUUUGUUAAAGCAGCCUCAGACAGCUCCGUCACUUUUUACUUUUUGUGGUGAAUACUGACCGAGUUUGAGACUUUUUCAUCAGCAUAACUCUUGAGCAAAGUUUGGACGUUGCUUCUUGUGUGAUAUCCACUGGCUCCCCGUCUUGUCUUAAAACGGAAGAUUUCCAAUAUUGUGACGAAGUGAUACAUACGCCACUGCCUGUUGACAUACAUCUUUACAACUAAAGACGUGAACGUUAACUUUAAAUGCGUGUCAGCAUUGCACUGUUGUGCCCCAGAGGCUUCUGAAUACUAUUGAGAAAGUAGUCGGAUUCAAUGUUUACAUGGUUAUUUUUUGCUGUUUGAUCGGAUUAGAAAAGGAAUAAACCACCCCUUCCAAUCCGAUCGAAAUUUCAUUCAGAUCGAUUGAGGUGUUUACAUGAACGUUUUUCAAUCCGAUUGAGCCGUCAAUCCGAUUACAAAUGGAUUAUUUGGGUGCAUGUAAACGUAGCCAAUGUUAACUUCAGUGUUUUGAAGUGUUCAUUUAAAAUCGCUACAGUUACAAUAAAAUAAAGAAGGUUCAAGUUUAUUUUUAAAUAAAUGUUUUAAUUGUUUUUAUUUCUAUUCAAAGAAUCUUAAAAAAAAUCCAGUUUCUACAAAAAAAUGAAGCAGUACAACUGUUUACAACAUUAAUAACAAAAAUGUUGCUCGAAUAUUUACUCUUAAGUGUUAUUUUUCAUUAAAUAAAAAAUGUUUUUGGUACAAUUUAUGGUUGCAUUUCAUUUUCUGUAAUUCUAUUCAAUACCUAUUAAUGUACAUAAAUAAUAAAACUAUAAAAAUAGUAAUAGUAAUUACAUACUGUAAAUAUAUUUACAAACUAUUUUUAUAGUUUUAUUGUAACUGGCUAAAGUUUUGAAUGAUUUCAUCAUGUUUUAUUAAUAUUAAUAAAGGUAAACAUUAAAUAGUCAAGCUUUUAUAGAGCAAUCCAGUCUGUCUAAUGUUGGUCCAUUAGAUUUUAAAUAUUUCUGUGUAGCCAGUUUUGGCCAGAAUACUAUUUCGAGAGUGAUCUGAAAGGUAUUCAGACCAAAUGAACCACAUAAACGGGUCCAGUUCGGAUCCGCGGCGGAUCAGCUGCUUCAUAAACGGGUCCGUAUUGGAUCCGCGGCGGAUCAGCUGCUUCAUAAACGGGUCCGUAUUGCAUCCGCGGCGGAUCAGCUGCUUCAUAAACGGGUCC
This is a long non-coding RNA of Megalobrama amblycephala (Wuchang bream), 3400 nucleotides long. RefSeq lists it as uncharacterized. The transcript is spliced from 5 exons. The record is from RefSeq and is a predicted model, not a curated record. NCBI's taxonomy places the organism in Eukaryota, Metazoa, Chordata, Actinopteri, Cypriniformes, Xenocyprididae.